Molecule: ribosomal RNA, 494 nt
Filed under: uncultured bacterium
Lineage: Bacteria
Description: partial 16S ribosomal RNA
Rfam family: Bacterial small subunit ribosomal RNA
Source: RNAcentral
GACGAACGCUGGCGACGCGCUUAACACAUGCAAGUCGAACGGAAAGGCCUGCUUUCCCUUGUGGAUUGCGGGUACUCGAGUGGCGAACGGGUGAGUAACACGUGAGUGAUCUGCCCCCAACUUGGGUAUAAGCCUGGGAAACUGGGUCUAAUUCCCGAUAGGACUGCAGGGUGGUGCCUGUGGUGGAAAACGAUUUUCUAGUGGUUGGGGAUGAGCUCGCGGCCUAUCAGCUUGUUGGUGGGGGAAUGGCCUACCAAGGCGGCGACGGGUAGCCGGCCUGAGAGGGUGGACGGCCCCAUUGGGACAGGGAUACGGCCCAGACUCCUACGGGAGGCAGCAGUGGGGAAUAUUGCGCAAUGGGCGGAAGCCUGAUGCAGCGACGCCGCGUGGGGGAUGGCGGCCUUCGGGUUGUAAACUCCUUUCGACCGCGAGGAAGCCACCUGGUUGGAAGGGUGGUGACGGUAGUGGUAGAAGAAGCACCGGCUAACUACGUG